GCUACGCGAUAGGGUUCGAGGAGGAUGGUCCUCAUCCCAGAAUCCAUCUCCUUCACCAGGUCGCUCGUCGGCGUCGCCAGCUCGAUAUAGAUACAUGCGUCUCCUCCUCACGCAAAGCCGAAGGUUCUAGAAUUGCCUUCGUCAUGUUCCCUGUAAAAAAACCCCCGGGGCCCCUCGUUUCCCGCCCAAGGCUGAAACCCUGGCUCUUGGGCGUCCACUCCAAGCCCAAGCCCAAGCCCAAGCCGAUGGCACCGACAGAUCUCAUCCCCUCCGGAGACCCUCGGUGGAUCGGGCCUGCUUCCCCGGCAACCGGGAGAUGAUGGAGUUCGGGGCUCAGCAGCACAGGGCUUGGGGAAUGGAUUCUUCCCGAACCGCUGGUUAUGAAGACUCAUCUGGUUGUGAGACAAUGGUUGUGCAUCCAACCUUUGAUACGGAAAACAAUUGACAAGCAAUCUAUGAGUUGGACCCGGAUGACAAAUAAUUCCAACGUCAAAAGCAAGAUUUCAGAGAUGGGAAUGGGCCAGUUUCCAGGUCGCAAAACAGUUUCACCGUCAAAAGACUUCUUUUCUGAUAUUAUAGAAAUGGAGAUCUUCAACUUUUGUCUUUGAUUGAAUAUUUAAUGGCAAUCAGCUCGUUUUAAGAGUCUAUGGAGAAAAAAGAAUGAUUAUUUUCAUGUUUGCGACAUAAAAAAAAAUUGAUUCAACUGAGAUGCUUGAGAAUGUCAUCAAUCUUGAUCGGGAUUUGGAUUGCAAGGAUUACCAGGGACACGGUGUGAUGAAGUUGCCCAUCUCAAACUAAAUUCCGAUGUUGCUUGGCGUUCCGCUGUUCUUGUUAACAAAAAAAGGUUGAUUGCCAGUUUGUUUUAAGAGUACAUGGAGAAAAAAGAAUGUUCUUGGUGGGUGCACUAUGUGGAACACUGUUCUGAUUUUAGGUUAAGCAUGCAAACUUGGGAGGGUCAUGAAGCAUCAAUAUUAGUAUUUUUGAGUUUAUCCGCAUAUUGCUAGUAUAAGUUCUAUCUGCCAUACCUGUACGAUUUUCAUACAAGUAUGCAGGUUUAUCAUUAAAAAACCUCAAUUCUAUGAUUCUUAAGACCGAAACAUGUUCCCUUUUUGAUUAGUUGAAGUAAUAAUUUCAGAAGGUUUUUUCAGUACCAUGAUUCACAUCAACUGUACUUAAGUCAAUUGGGAAGGAUUCCUUGUGCAGCAGGAUAAUCCACAAACAGAUGAUGGAACUGUGGCUCCUUCACACAUCAGGCCUACUCCUGAAAUUUCUGGCUGGAGAGUUUAGGAAACUGGAGUUCUCCUUCGAAUUGAGCCCACCACACUGAGGCAUAAGGAUCUUCCAGAAGACAAAUUCCAAGUUAAUUUGAAACCAGAUUGAUUUCUCCUAUGGUGACGCAAAAGGCUCAUACAUACAAGUAGCCUGGUUCCCUCCAUUAAAUUCUCCUUUCAAUUAGCUGACUGACUCUCUGACAAGCAGUAUGGAGGAACAUGCAUGUAUAUGUCAGGACAACCAUGUCGAUGAAUUAUGCUGCGGAUGUACACGGCAUAUUUUCCAGAGACUUUUAGGUGGAAGGAAACAGCGCAGGGAGGCAUUAACUUCAUUGUGACUUGAAAGGCACCGUUUCAAAAUUAUCCUGAGAGGAUAACAAGACUCAUCGAUGCAUCACAACCCAUUCCAGAAAGCUAGAAAGGCAUUCUGUUCUCGGGGAAGAUGAGAUGCAUGAAUAGUUCGACAGCCUUGCGCAUAUCGCCAGCAACAAAAGAAUGACAGUGCCCUGCUUUUUCCUUCCCCCAAGAAAGAGAGAGGAAGAAUCCACCAAAGCAUGCAUCGGUACUGAAGGAAUGAACAGGUCAUAUUUCCAGCAACCAAAGGAGAAAUAGGUUUAUAGCAAUGAAUAGGUCCCACUACGCACUGCACCACGAGGGUUGAAGUCUAUAGUUGGAGGAUGAUUUAUUAUAAGGUAUUCUACCAGAAAAAAAUAUACACUAUUUUUAUUUUAAAAAUCUUAAAAUUUGAUAAUUAAUCAUCAUAAAAUUAUCAAAAAUCAUACUAAUCAUCUUAAAAAUCAUAUCAUAAUAAUUUUUUAAAAAUUUAGAUCGAUUUACUUAAAAAUCAUCAAGCUAUAUUCCAAAUUGAAGUAAGUUAAA
This is a long non-coding RNA of Musa acuminata AAA Group (dessert banana), 2150 nucleotides long. RefSeq lists it as uncharacterized. Lineage: Eukaryota; Viridiplantae; Streptophyta; Magnoliopsida; Zingiberales; Musaceae. The transcript has 5 exons. The record is from RefSeq and is a predicted model, not a curated record.